This 161-nucleotide small RNA is filed under the name uncultured Bariatricus sp. RNAcentral describes it as "Clostridiales-1 RNA". It matches the Rfam family "Clostridiales-1 RNA". The record is from RNAcentral. Lineage: Bacteria; Bacillati; Bacillota; Clostridia; Lachnospirales; Lachnospiraceae.
GAUGCCAGGGUCAAAAGGUCUAAAUCCACAUGAACUUGUUUAUAAGUGGAUUUAGACCUUGGCUCCCCGAUAUGAGCCUAAAAGUGGGAUGAUAAUCCCAUGAUAUGCGAAUAUUGGGGCGGAUUGUGGGAGUGCAAAGCACAGAACAAUCCGCAGGCAUC